This is a long non-coding RNA of Antechinus flavipes (yellow-footed antechinus), 1372 nucleotides long. RefSeq lists it as uncharacterized. The transcript is spliced from 3 exons. The record is from RefSeq and is a predicted model, not a curated record. Lineage: Eukaryota; Metazoa; Chordata; Mammalia; Dasyuromorphia; Dasyuridae.
AUUUCCAUGUUCUCGGCAACGCUGUGACUUUUUUAUGAGUUGAAAGAACAUGGUUCUCAAAGCCGGCUUGGAAGUCCCUGGGCGGUUCUCCCCGAGGGCCCGGGACCCGAAGAAAGGCGCGGCCCGAGCCCGGCUGGCCCCCCGGGGCGGAAGGGACUUGUUGCUGCUCGGCGCCCGGCAAGGCGGGAGGAGCGCGGGCGAGGCACAGAGAGGGCCGGGUGCCUGAGGGAUCGGGGGUGGAGUGGGGUGGGGAGGGGGCUCCGGGGCGCCUUCUCCCCCCGCCCCCGGCUCCGUCUCCCUCAUGGCCUUUUUCCUAGGAAAGCUCCGAGAGCCGGUGCGCUAUGGGCGGGAGGGAGGCCUGGAGAAGGUGAUGGGGACGGGAGGUGGGAGCAGCCCGACCCAGACCCCACGCAGGGAACCUCUGUUGUUUAUCUUGGCCCUUCCCGCGGUCCGCGGGGGACUGAGCUCUGGGCCAGGGCGGAAGAGAGGCGGGGGAAGGCGAGGCAGCAAUAAGAGCUGGGAGCUUCUUGGGAGCGGAGACCCGGAGGUUGGACCGAAGAUUGCGGAGGGAGGGGAGCCCAAGCUCACGGCGUCCCCUGCUCGGAGACUAGACUGAGGUCCUCCAGGAGAGAAGUCCCUCCAAGGGGGAGAGCCAUCUGGGAGACAUAGGCCGCCAAGAAGACAUCGACAUGGCCCCUGAGUGCUAACUUUGUCUACAUAGUUGACAAUUGUCAAUGGAAGAAAGUGGAGUAAGACCAGAGAUGAAAAAAUCAAGGUCCAGAGAGAUGAAAUGACCUAAUGCAAUGAGAUAAAUAUGCAAGCCAAGAAGGAAGGAAAGAAAUAAGCAUUUAUUAAGCCUUUAUUAAGAAGUGAAGUCAGGCUCUCUAAUUUCAAGUUCGGGACUCUUUUUUACCUUCAUAUUGUCUCUCUUUAAUUUGAAAUUUUAAAGGUAGAUUUUAUUGAGGACUUUUAUCUUCAGUCAACAAGUACUUUUAAAAAAUCUCUCCCAUGUUUCAGACAUCAUACUGCUGAUACAAAGAAAAAUUCUGCUUUUCAGAAACACAACAGGGUCAUUUUCUUCUGUGUUCCACCACCUCUCUCCCUUCUUUGAUGAUGCUCCCUCAUUUUGUAUCCAAAGAAAAAACAGCCAAGCAAAACCAACUGAUAAAGAGACCCCAUCUGCACCCAUGAGCCCUCAUCUCUCUGCCAAGAAGAAUAUGGAGGUGUGUUUCAUCAUUUCACAAUCUGGAUGAAGAUCGGUCCUGGUACUUAAUUUGAGUUCAACUGCCUUGUAGUAUCAUUGAAAGCAUGGCUUGUUUAGCCUAGUUCUUGGCACAGAGUAAGCUCUCAAUAAAGGCUUAUAAUUCACCGA